AAUUUUCGGCAAUGGGGGCAACCCUGACCGAGCGACGACGCGUGAGUGAAGAAGGUCUUCGGAUUGUAAAGCUCUGUUGUAAGGGAAGAACCGUACCAGUAGGGAAUGACUGGUACCUGACGGUACCUUACCAGCAAGCCACGGCUAACUACGUGCCAGCAGCCGCGGUAAUACGUAGGUGGAUAGCGUUAUCCGGAAUUAUUGGGCGUAAAGGGAGCGCGGGCGGCUUAUUGAGUAUGCGGUUCAAGUUCGGGGCUCACCCCAGUGAUGCCUUAGAAACUGGUCGGCAAGACUGCAGGAGAGGUGAGUGGAAUUCAAUGUGUAGCGGAAAAGUGCGUAGAUAUAUGGAGGAACACCAGUGGCGAAGGCGGCUCACUGGCCUGUAACUGACGCUGAGGCACGAAAGCGUGGGGAGCAAAUA
This 421-nucleotide ribosomal RNA is filed under the name uncultured bacterium. RNAcentral's name for it is "partial 16S ribosomal RNA". It matches the Rfam family "Bacterial small subunit ribosomal RNA", at positions 360 to 774 of the family's 1533-position model. The record is from RNAcentral.